This is a small nucleolar RNA of Triticum dicoccoides, 92 nucleotides long. RefSeq annotates it as small nucleolar RNA J33. The transcript has a single exon. The record is from RefSeq and is a predicted model, not a curated record. Lineage: Eukaryota; Viridiplantae; Streptophyta; Magnoliopsida; Poales; Poaceae.
CCGUGAGGGGAAUGAUGUAUUACUAUGAAGCUCUCAAGGUGCUGAAUUAUCUCGAAUCCUUAUCUGAACAUCAGUUGAACACUAGAUCGAGG